This 492-nucleotide ribosomal RNA is filed under the name uncultured bacterium. Its description in RNAcentral is "partial 16S ribosomal RNA". It matches the Rfam family "Bacterial small subunit ribosomal RNA", at positions 29 to 507 of the family's 1533-position model. The record is from RNAcentral.
AGUGAACGCUGGCGGUAGGCCUAACACAUGCAAGUCGAACGGCAGCACAGUAAGAGCUUGCUCUUACGGGUGGCGAGUGGCGGACGGGUGAGGAAUACAUCGGGAUCUACUUUUUCGUGGGGGAUAACGUAGGGAAACUUACGCUAAUACCGCAUACGACCUACGGGUGAAAGCAGGGGAUCUUCGGACCUUGCGCGAUUGAAUGAGCCGAUGUCGGAUUAGCUAGUUGGCGGGGUAAAGGCCCACCAAGGCGACGAUCCGUAGCUGGUCUGAGAGGAUGAUCAGCCACACUGGAACUGAGACACGGCCCAGACUCCUACGGGAGGCAGCAGUGGGGAAUAUUGGACAAUGGGCGCAAGCCUGAUCCAGCCAUACCGCGUGGGUGAAGAAGGCCUUCGGGUUGUAAAGCCCUUUUGUUGGGAAAGAAAAGCAGCAGGUUAAUACCCCGCUGUUCUGACGGUACCCAAAGAAUAAGCACCGGCUAACUUCGUG